AGCCCAGCGCUUCGCAGACCAUCCCCACCUGCCACUCAGGGCCUGGGUCUCCAGCUCUCUGCCACUCCCAUCCCAUUUCCUCAUCCCCUGGGCCUCCCAACCUCCAGGCUGCAGGACUCUGGCUUAUUAAAAACAGAAAAAUCAACCUCUCAACAUGUCUUUCAUUUUGGUUUUGCAAACGCUGCACUCUCCCGCCCUCCCGCCCUCCCUGCAUCCAUUCAUUUCUCAUCCUUCAUUCUCUACCCCUUGUCCUGUCUCCUUUCCUGCAUCCUGGCCUCUCGCGGUCCUUGGUCCCUCACCCCAGUAUUGCAGAUCUCAUGGUCUUCUUAUCUCAUAGCCAGCCUAUCUCUGGCCCAUGGUUUUGGGGUUCUUCUUGGGUUGUCUCCCACUUUCGACCUGGAAUCAGCAAAGCCCCUUUCGUGCCCUCUUAGCCCCAACUCCAGGGGUGGCUAUUCCGAGAUCACCCUUCAGGCCUUUCCAAAGCAAAGUCCUUCUGUCUGUCAUGGACCACACAGGCCCGUGCCCUGUCCCUGUCUGCAGCCACCACACACACAGGCACCACCGGGAGUGCCAAGGAGGCCCACGGGGUGCAGGACGCCUCUGAUGAGCAGUCUAGCCAAAGAGCUGCCUCCAGGGGCCGUGAGGGUAGUGGCCAGGCUGUUGGACUUCCAAGGGGCCACUCGGGUCUGGUUCCUUCUCUGCAUACCCCAGCAGGGCUGCCUGGUUAACCCCAUCAAACUCAGCGCUUCACGGCGGAUCAGCCUGGCAUUUGGGAGAGACGCCCCCACACACACACAAGCGCCGAAGAUGGAAGCCCCUCGGGACCUGAUGUUGGCAGCAGCUGUGCCUUCUGCUCUGAGGACUUUUCCAGAAGGACGUUUCCUGGCCUUCACCCACCACAGCAUCCCUGCCUUUAAAGCUCUUGUCUUCAGACAUUUCAUGGCCAAAGAGGUGCCAUUGGCUUGCCUCCCUGCUUGCCAUCCUGACCUGCCUCUCCACAGAUUCUUUCUUUCCGGGGACCUGCCUCUACCUGUCUGGUUUGGCUUGGGGGGAGGGGCUCUUUUCUGA
RNAcentral lists this long non-coding RNA (1068 nucleotides) under Delphinapterus leucas (beluga whale). Its description in RNAcentral is "lncRNA (ENSDLEG00000009716.1)". The record is from RNAcentral. Lineage: Eukaryota; Metazoa; Chordata; Mammalia; Artiodactyla; Monodontidae.